CUAUGACUCCUGAUUGCUAAGUGUUCACCUGGACCUUCUGACCACCUUCCUUCUGCUAUUCCAUCACUACAGAUCUGGUACCUGGAUUUUUGCCCAUGUUUGAGUCCUACUACCUUACUACUGAAGAAGACACCAUUCCUGUGGACCACUGUGACCCAAGAGGCAUUCAGCCAUGAUGAUGUGGCCUUCACCUCCACUCUUUUCCUGUUCUACCCAGAUUCAACACAACCCCUUA
Molecule: non-coding RNA, 235 nt
Organism: Choloepus hoffmanni (Hoffmann's two-fingered sloth)
Lineage: Eukaryota; Metazoa; Chordata; Mammalia; Pilosa; Megalonychidae
Source: Rfam